RNAcentral lists this ribosomal RNA (251 nucleotides) under uncultured bacterium. RNAcentral describes it as "partial 16S ribosomal RNA". It matches the Rfam family "Bacterial small subunit ribosomal RNA", at positions 524 to 776 of the family's 1533-position model. The record is from RNAcentral.
UACGUAGGUGGCGAGCGUUGUCCGGAAUUAUUGGGCGUAAAGCGCGCGCAGGUGGGAUCUUAAGUCUGUUCUCAAAGUUCGGAGCUCAACUCCGUGAUGGGAUGGAAACUGGGAUUCUUGAGUAUCGGAGAGGAAAGCGGAAUUCCCCGUGUAGCGGUGAAAUGCGUAGAUAUGGGAGGAACACCAGUGGCGAAGGCGGCUUUCUGGACGAUGUCUGACACUGAGACGCGAAAGCCAGGGGAGCGAACGGG